GAUGAACGCUAGCGGCAGGCCUAACACAUGCAAGUCGAGCGGUAGCACAAGGAGCUUGCUCCUGGGUGACGAGCGGCGGACGGGUGAGUAAUGUCUGGGAAACUGCCUGAUGGAGGGGGAUAACUACUGGAAACGGUAGCUAAUACCGCAUAAUGUCGCAAGACCAAAGAGGGGGACCUUCGGGCCUCUUGCCAUCAGAUGUGCCCAGAUGGGAUUAGCUAGUAGGUGGGGUAACGGCUCACCUAGGCGACGAUCCCUAGCUGGUCUGAGAGGAGGACCAGCCAAACGGGAACUGAGACACGGUCCAGACUCCUACGGGAGGCAGCAGUGGGGAAUAUUGCACAAUGGGCGCAAGCCUGAUGCAGCCAUGCCGCGUGUAUGAAGAAGGCCUUCGGGUUGUAAAGUACUUUCAGCGGGGAGGAAGGGUAUAGGCUUAAUACGUUUAUACAUUGACGUUACCCGCAGAAGAAGCACCGGCUAACUCCGUGCCAGCCGCCGCUGUAACAC
RNAcentral lists this ribosomal RNA (507 nucleotides) under uncultured bacterium. Its description in RNAcentral is "bacterial SSU rRNA". It matches the Rfam family "Bacterial small subunit ribosomal RNA", at positions 28 to 526 of the family's 1533-position model. The record is from RNAcentral.